This 253-nucleotide ribosomal RNA is filed under the name uncultured bacterium. RNAcentral describes it as "partial 16S ribosomal RNA". It matches the Rfam family "Bacterial small subunit ribosomal RNA", at positions 524 to 776 of the family's 1533-position model. The record is from RNAcentral.
UACGGAGGGCGCAAGAGUUGUUCGGCAUCACUGGGCGGAAAGCGCGUGUAGGCGGCUUGGUAAGUCGGGGGUGAAAGCCCGCAGCUCAACUCCGGAACUGCACUCGAAACUGCCUCGCUCGAGUCCCGGAGAGGGUGGUGGAAUUCCCGGUGUAGAGGUGAAAUUCGUAGAUAUCGGGAGUAACACCAGUGGCGAAGGCGGCCACCUGGACGGUGACUGACGCUGAGACGCGACAGCGUGGGGCGCAAACAGG